AGCGUGCGCAGGCGGUUUUGUAAGUUUGUCGUGAAAUCCCCGGGCUUAACCUGGGAAUUGCGAUGAAGACUGCAAGGCUAGAAUCUGGCAGAGGGGGGUAGAAUUCCACGUGUAGCAGUGAAAUGCGUAGAGAUGUGGAGGAACACCGAUGGCGAAGGCAGCCCCCUGGGUCAAGAUUGACGCUCAUGCACGAAAGCGUGGGGAGCAAACAGGAUUAGAUACCCUGGUAGUCCACGCCCUAAACGAUGUCUACUAGUUGUCGGGUUUUAAUUAACUUGGUAACGCAGCUAACGCGUGAAGUAGACCGCCUGGGGAGUACGGUCGCAAGAUUAAAACUCAAAGGAAUUGACGGGGACCCGCACAAGCGGUGGAUGAUGUGGAUUAAUUCGAUGCAACGCGAAAAACCUUACCUACCCUUGACAUGUCAGGAACCUCGGAGAGAUCUGAGGGUGCUCGAAAGAGAGCCUGAACACAGGUGCUGCAUGGCUGUCGUCAGCCCGUGUCGUGAGAUGUUGGGUUAAGUCCCGCAACGAGCGCAACCCUUGUCAUUAGUUGCUACGCAAGAGCACUCUAAUGAGACCGCCGGUGACAAACCGGAGGAAGGUGGGGAUGACGUCAAGUCCUCAUGGCCCUUAUGGGUAGGGCUUCACACGUCAUACAAUGGUACAUACAGAGGGCCGCCAACCCGCGAGGGGGAGCUAAUCCCAGAAAGUGUAUCGUAGUCCGGAUUGUAGUCUGCAACUCGACUACAUGAAGUUGGAAUCGCUAGUAAU
Molecule: ribosomal RNA, 773 nt
Filed under: uncultured bacterium
Lineage: Bacteria
Description: bacterial SSU rRNA
Rfam family: Bacterial small subunit ribosomal RNA
Source: RNAcentral